UGGGGAAUAUUGGGCAAUGGGCGAAAGCCUGACCCAGCGACGCCGCGUGCGGGAAGAAGGUCUUCGGAUUGUAAACCGCUUUUAUAAGGGACGAAGAAAUGACGGUACCUUAUGAAUAAGCCACGGCUAACUACGUGCCAGCAGCCGCGGUAAUACGUAGGUGGCAAGCGUUAUCCGGAUUUACUGGGUGUAAAGGGUGUGUAGGCGGGGAGACAAGUCAGAUGUGAAAAUUAUGGGCUCAACUCAUAACCUGCGUCUGAAACUGUUUUUCUUGAGGGUCGGAGAGGUAACUGGAAUUCCUGGUGUAGCGGUGAAAUGCGUAGAUAUCAGGAGGAACACCGGUGGCGAAGGCGAGUUACUGGACGAUUACUGACGCUGAGACACGAAAGUGUGGGGAGCAAACAGG
This 406-nucleotide ribosomal RNA is filed under the name uncultured bacterium. RNAcentral describes it as "bacterial SSU rRNA". It matches the Rfam family "Bacterial small subunit ribosomal RNA", at positions 355 to 776 of the family's 1533-position model. The record is from RNAcentral.